This 476-nucleotide ribosomal RNA is filed under the name Karoophasma botterkloofense. RNAcentral describes it as "partial 16S large subunit ribosomal RNA". It matches the Rfam family "Bacterial large subunit ribosomal RNA", at positions 1797 to 2541 of the family's 2925-position model. The record is from RNAcentral. Lineage: Eukaryota; Metazoa; Arthropoda; Insecta; Mantophasmatodea; Austrophasmatidae.
CGCCUGUUUAACAAAAACAUGUCUUUAUUGAUAAUAAUUUAAAGUCUAACCUGCCCACUGAUAGUAAUUAAAGGGCCGCGGUAUUUUGACCGUGCAAAGGUAGCAUAAUCAUUAGUUUUUUAAUUGGAAGCUUGUAUGAAUGGUUGGACAAGGUAUUUUCUGUCUCAUAUUUAUUAUUUUGAAUUUUACUUUUUAGUGAAAAGGCUGAAAUUUGAUUGAAGGACGAGAAGACCCUAUAGAUCUUUAUAUUAAUAAUUUAAUAUUUUAAUUAGAUAUUAUUUAUUAUAUUAUUUUAUUUUAUUUAGUUGGGGUGACUAGAAGAUUAACUUAACUCUUCUUUAUAAAUUACAAUAAUUAUUGAUUUAUUUGAUCCUUUAUUAAUGAUUAUAAGAAUAAGUUACCUUAGGGAUAACAGCGUUAUCUUUUUUAAGAGUUGAUAUCUACAAAAAGGAUUGCGACCUCGAUGUUGGAUUAAA